AAUAACGAUACGGGACUCAUCCGAGGCCCCGUAAUCGGAAUGAGAACAAUUUAAAUCCUUUAACGAGGAUCAAUUGGAGGGCAAGUCUGGUGCCAGCAGCCGCGGUAAUUCCAGCUCCAAUAGCGUAUAUUAAAGUUGUUGCGGUUAAAAAGCUCGUAGUCGAAUCUGUGUCCCGCGCCGCCGGUUCGUCGCUCGCGGCGUUUAACUGGCGUGUCCGCGGGACGUCCUGCCGGUGGGCUUAGCCCCCCGCCGUGGUGCUCUUCACCGAGUGUCGAGGCGGGCCGGCACGUUUACUUUGAACAAAUUAGAGUGCUUAAAGCAGGCUAAAAUUUUGCCUGAAUACUUCGUGCAUGGAAUAAUGGAAUAGGACCUCGGUUCUAUUUUGUUGGUUUUCGGAACCCCGAGGUAAUGAUUAAUAGGAACGGAUGGGGGCAUUCGUAUUGCGACGUUAGAGGUGAAAUUCUUGGAUCGUCGCAAGACGGACAGAAGCGAAAGCAUUUGCCAAAAACGUUUUCAUUGAUCAAGAACGAAAGUUAGAGGUUCGAAGGCGAUCAGAUACCGCCCUAGUUCUAACCAUAAACGAUGCCAGCUAGCGAUCCGCCGACGUUCCUCCGAUGACUCGGCGGGCAGCUUCCGGGAAACCAAAGCUUUUGGGUUCCGGGGGAAGUAUGGUUGCAAAGCUGAAACUUAAAGGAAUUGACGGAAGGGCACCACCAGGAGUGGAGCCUGCGGCUUAAUUUGACUCAACACGGGAAACCUCACCAGGCCCGGACACCGGAAGGAUUGACAGAUUGAGAGCUCUUUCUUGAUUCGGUGGGUGGUGGUGCAUGGCCGU
Molecule: ribosomal RNA, 835 nt
Filed under: Lycus fernandezi
Lineage: Eukaryota; Metazoa; Arthropoda; Insecta; Coleoptera; Lycidae
Description: SSU rRNA
Rfam family: Eukaryotic small subunit ribosomal RNA
Source: RNAcentral